UACGGAGGAUCCGAGCGUUAUCCGGAUUUAUUGGGUUUAAAGGGUGCGUAGGCGGCUCAUUAAGUCAGGGGUGAAAGACGGUAGCUCAACUAUCGCAGUGCCUUUGAUACUGAUGAGCUUGAAUGUACUUGAGGUAGGCGGAAUGUGACAAGUAGCGGUGAAAUGCAUAGAUAUGUCACAGAACACCGAUUGCGAAGGCAGCUUACUAAAGUAUGAUUGACGCUGAGGCACGAAAGCGUGGGGAUCAAACAGG
RNAcentral lists this ribosomal RNA (253 nucleotides) under uncultured bacterium. RNAcentral's name for it is "partial 16S ribosomal RNA". It matches the Rfam family "Bacterial small subunit ribosomal RNA", at positions 524 to 776 of the family's 1533-position model. The record is from RNAcentral.